GAUGAACGCUGGCGGCGUGCCUAAUACAUGCAAGUCGAGCGAACGGACGAGAAGCUUGCUUCUCUGAUGUUAGCGGCGGACGGGUGAGUAACACGUGGAUGACCUACCUAUAAGACUGGGAUAACUUCGGGAAACCGUAGCUAAUACCGGAUAAUAUUUUGAACCGCAUGGUUCAAAAGUGAAAGACGGUCUUGCUGUCACUUAUAGAUGGAUCCGCGCUGCAUUAGCUAGUUGGUAAGGUAACGGCUUACCAAGGCAACGAUGCAUAGCCGACCUGAGAGGGUGAUCGGCCACACUGGAACUGAGACACGGUCCAGACUCCUACGGGAGGCAGCAGUAGGGAAUCUUCCGCAAUGGGCGAAAGCCUGACGGAGCAACGCCGCGUGAGUGAUGAAGGUCUUCGGAUCGUAAAACUCUGUUAUUAGGGAAGAACAUAUGUGUAAGUAACUGUGCACAUCUUGACGGUACCUAAUCAGAAAGCCACGGCUAACUACGUG
Molecule: ribosomal RNA, 497 nt
Filed under: uncultured bacterium
Lineage: Bacteria
Description: partial 16S ribosomal RNA
Rfam family: Bacterial small subunit ribosomal RNA
Source: RNAcentral